Hypanus sabinus (Atlantic stingray) is the source of this 822-nucleotide long non-coding RNA. RefSeq lists it as uncharacterized. The record is from RefSeq and is a predicted model, not a curated record. NCBI's taxonomy places the organism in Eukaryota, Metazoa, Chordata, Chondrichthyes, Myliobatiformes, Dasyatidae. The transcript is spliced from 3 exons.
UGUUGCUGACGGAAAUGGUCGAAUAAAUUCUGAUUUUUAUCUGCUGCAGUUUUAUUUUUUCCCAAACUUCUGACUAUUUGGAAGAAUAGAGUGAAAUUUGUUUUCUUAAAAAAAAGAAAAAGUCCACUCAAGAGAGGAACAUGACAUCAAGCAAAGGCACUGUCUUGACAAGCCCAGAUACUGCCUGACCUACUGAGUUCCUCCUGCUUCACAUUUGUUGCCACCUGUGACCUUGAACCAUAACUGAAAAUGAGAUCAUAAAGUCAGGUGAGUUCUGACUACUGCCAUUGCUGUGUUACCCCACACACAAGUCCUAAAGGAUGCAAGUUGCCUUGGAACAGUGGGACAGUUGGAGAAGAGAUGCAGAAUUUUUUCGCUCAGAGAAUGAUAGGAUUCUGGAACACUCUCUGUAAAAGAUGAUUGAUGUGGACGGAAGCAUCAUGUUAAAACCUUAUUUGGAAGUGUGCUUCAGGAGCAGUAAUCCAUAAGGGUACAGUCUGAGAGCAGGAAUGAAGAAUGAAGUUGGGAAGUACAUUAUCGAUCACCACUGACAUAACAUUGCACCCUGUUGUCUCCCUGCACUACACUUUCUCUGAUUGUAACACUUUGUUACUGUUUUCUCUUCUGCUACUUCAAUGCACUCUUGUAAUGAAUUGAGCUACAUGAAUGAUAUGCAAACACAAGAGAUUUCUCAGAUGCUGGAGGAAGAGUCCCAGCCUGAAUUGUCGACUGUUUAUUCCCCUCCAUAGAUGCUACCUGACUCGCUGAGUUCCUCCAGCAUUUUGUGCAUUUUGAACAGUAUUAAAGACAAGAUAUUUGUUG